UACGUAGGGGGCAAGCGUUGUCCGGAAUCAUUGGGCGUAAAGCGCGUGUAGGCGGCUCGGUAAGUCUGCUGUGAAAGUCCAGGGCUCAACCCUGGGAUGCCGGUGGAUACUGUCGAGCUCGAGUCCGGAAGAGGCGAGUGGAAUUCCUGGUGUAGCGGUGAAAUGCGCAGAUAUCAGGAAGAACACCAAUGGCGAAGGCAGCUCUCUGGGACGGUACUGACGCUGAGACGCGAAAGCGUGGGGAGCGAACAGG
This 253-nucleotide ribosomal RNA is filed under the name uncultured bacterium. RNAcentral's name for it is "partial 16S ribosomal RNA". It matches the Rfam family "Bacterial small subunit ribosomal RNA", at positions 524 to 776 of the family's 1533-position model. The record is from RNAcentral.